AGAGUUUGAUCCUGGCUCAGAACGUACGCUGGCGGCACGCCUAACACAUGCAAGUCGAACGAAGUAGCAAUACUUAGUGGCAGACGGGUGAGUAACAUGUAGGUAUCUGCCCUUUGGCCUGGAAUAACACGAGGAAACUUGUGCUAAUACCGGAUAAGUCUUUACGGAGAAAGCUUUAUGCACCAUUGGAUGAGCCUGCACUUGAUUAGUUUGUUGGUGGGGUAAUGGCCUACCAAGACUGUGAUCAAUAGCUGAUUUGAGAGGAUGAUCAGCCACAUUGGGACUGAGACACGGCCCAAACUCCUACGGGAGGCAGCAGUGGGGAAUCUUGCACAAUGGAGGAAACUCUGAUGCAGCGAUGCCGCGUGAGUGAAGAAGGCCUUUGGGUUGUAAAGCUCUUUCGUCGGGGAAGAAAAUGACUGUACCCGAAUAAGAAGGUCCGGCUAACUUCGUGCCAGCAGCCGCGGUAAUACGAAGGGACCUAGCGUAGUUCGGAAUUACUGGGCUUAAAGAGUUCGUAGGUGGUUGAAAAAGUUGGUGGUGAAAUCCCAGAGCUUAACUCUGGAACUGCCAUCAAAACUUUUCAGCUAGAGUAUGAUAGAGGAAAGCAGAAUUUCUAGUGUAGAGGUGAAAUUCGUAGAUAUUAGAAAGAAUACCAAUUGCGAAGGCAGCUUUCUGGAUCAUUACUGACACUGAGGAACGAAAGCAUGGGUAGCGAAGAGGAUUAGAUACCCUCGUAGUCCAUGCCGUAAACGAUGUGUGUUAGACGUUGGAAAUUUAUUUUCAGUGUCGCAGGGAAACCGAUAAACACACCGCCUGGGGAGUACGACCGCAAGGUUAAAACUCAAAUGAAUUGACGGGGACCCGCACAAGUAGUGGAGCAUGUGGUUUAAUUCGAAGAUACGCGCAGAACCUUACCAACACUUGACAUGUUCGUCGCGACUCUAAGAGAUUAGAGUUUUCGGUUCGGCCGGACGAAACACAGGUGCUGCAUGGCUGUCGUCAGCUCGUGUCGUGAGAUGUUGGGUUAAGUCCCGCAACGAGCGCAACCCUCACUUUUAGUUGCCAUCAUUAAGUUGGGCACUCUGAAAGAACUGCCAGUGAUAAGCUGGAGGAAGGUGGGGAUGACGUCAAGUCCUCAUGGCCCUUACGUGUUGGGCUACACACGUGCUACAAUGGCAUCUACAACAGGAAGCAAAACGGCAACGUUGAGCAAAUCCCGAAAAGAUGCCUCAGUUCGGAUUGCACUCUGCAACUCGAGUGCAUGAAGCUGGAAUUACUAGUAAUCGUGGAUCAGCGUGCCACGGUGAAUGCGUUCCCGGGUCUUGUACACACCGCCCGUCACACCAUGGGAGUUGGUUCUACCUUAAGGCAAGGUUUUAAACCCUUGACCACGGUAUAGUCAGCGACUGGGGUGAAGUCGUAACAAGGUAACC
Molecule: ribosomal RNA, 1436 nt
Filed under: uncultured Pelagibacterales bacterium
Lineage: Bacteria; Pseudomonadati; Pseudomonadota; Alphaproteobacteria; Candidatus Pelagibacterales
Description: bacterial SSU rRNA
Rfam family: Bacterial small subunit ribosomal RNA
Source: RNAcentral